ACAAUCAGCAAAUAAAUGAAUUGAUUUGAGGAUCAUGUCGUGGUGCGGUAGAUACACCAGUGGAAACUAUGGAUAACGGACUUUUCGAACUCUGAAACUCGCUUCAAUAAAAGAUGCGGUUGCACCUACAUCUGUAAGAGUAUUCCAUAUUAUAUCCAUUGUGGAAGCCAGCAUAGCAAUUCGCGAAAGAAAGGCAAUAUUCAAAGUGAAAACUAGUGUCGGACUUUAUUUAAAGUUCCUGAUAACCUGAAGCUGUGGCUGCAUAGAGGGCGCCUUCGACUGCGCCUGGUGGCCAGCCAUUAAGAACCAGCUAAUUAAAAUGAACUGCGCCCGAAACCGAAAAAUCCCUUGAAAUGUACGAUAACGAAAACCUUGAAGUCGGCAAGAAAUAGCCAGAAUAAAUAAAUAAAUAAAAGUUUAUUAAUAAAUAGUGUGUGAAUAGUAGGUCACAGCGAGCGAGUGAAAAGAAUUGCCAUUUUUCAAGCGUGAUGCUGCCGCUGGUCGCUGCAAUAGCUGCGUGCAUAUACCUACUUGAACCAGUUUGUCACAUUAUGUAACGAAACGGUUGCGGUAUUUAAAGAUUUUAACCUUGCUCGACCCUUCAGCUCCUGAGGUUAACUCCUCGAAAAAAUUGAUUAAGGAAUUCAAAAAGAUAAUAAGGCGAAAAUAGAAGAAAGCGAUUAGCGGCUUUAAGGUCUAAAAAAACAUGGUGUUUGCAAAAGAAAACGUGCGAACUUAUAAAACUUACAAUGUUUUUGCAUUGAUUUUGAAAUAAAUCUUUGAAACUGUUUGAACCAAGCGCCCAACGUAAUCGAGAAAUUAAAAACUUGUUCAUUUAUCAACCAAAAAACCGCCGAUUUACUGUCUUCAAUCGAUGUAGCCAAUCGGAAUUCCUUAAAAAGGUUCUUGUGUAAAAAUAUCACCGAUCAAAAGUACAGGCCAAAAUUGGGGGAAUUUGCCUGAAGGCUCUUUAAGUUCCAAAGCUUACAUCUUUGUUAGUAAACAGUUUAACACAUGUUUUGCCUGAUACGCGUACACAGUCAAGAAGCUAAUAAACAAGCGAAACGGCGAAUCAGCUUUUUCUGCAGAGAAUGUAUCAAUGCUGUUAAAGUUUUAAUCAAUACAAAGAAAAUCCAUUAUCACAAAACAAUACCCGCCCUUAGUUUUGAUGAAAUGGCUAUAACACAAGGUUUGGAUUUUGAUGGCAGAUUUCGCCUGGAAAUAUUUCUUCACUGAGUUUUAAGGAGGUAAAUCAGUUUUUCACACACGUAAUGAAAUGAUAUUUUACUAAAAAAGAAAAGCAUAACCAAUUUUAAAUAUGCCUCUCUAUCAAAGAUGCAGAAAAAAGAAUUAUCCGGAAAAUCCAAAAAUAUCUAAUCCAGACAGCAGCAUAGUGAGUUUUCACCGUUAAGCAAUGCUCAAAAGGCUUCCAAGCUGGCAUGACAGACUACAUUGUGGCUUGCAAAAUUGCUAAAGCAAUAAAACCUUUUCAAAUAAAAAUUUGUAAAAGGCAAUGUUGAUAGUAUAGUAGAAUAGUUGACUAAUAAUUUAUGCCGAAAAAAAAAAACAAAUGCGUUUGAAUUGGUCAGCUUGUCUCGAAGGACAUCUUUGUUAGAAAACAGUUUGCCCUACAAGUCAAUAUAGAAACAAACAAAUAUUCUACAUAAUGACACAGCUACGCGAUACUUUUCCAUCUUUAAAAUUUGUCACGUGGAACUAUCAAGAAAGUGGACACGGAAAAGGCGCUCCAGAUGGCAUUGGUGCGGUGGUAAAGAGAACUGCCGAUUAUCAAGUUAAAUGUGGGCGCGAUGUCGGAAACUUCUCAAAAUUUGUUGAAGUUGUUCAAGAAAACGUUAAAAAUGUCGAAAUAAGAGUAGUAGAAGAGCACGAAAUCAUAGAAAAAGACAUUCUUCUUCUCAAAGAUAUUUCGCCAUUCUCCAGGUAAUCUGGAAUUCUAAAUCUGAAUUUCUUGAGUUUAGAAAACUGAGCUGUUUCCUAUGUAUUGACAAAAUUUGCGAACAUGACAGUAAACAUAUGCAAUUCCAUAAAAUUGAUCAAAGAACUGAAACUAAACUUUCAUUUAAGAUGAUUUACAACAAGAAUGUAUCAAUGCUGUUAAAGUUUUAAUCAAUACAAAGAAAAUCCAUUAUCACAAAACAAUACGCGCCCUUAGUUUUGAUGAAAUGGCUAUAACGCAAGGUUUGGAUUUUGAUUUGGAUUUUGAUGAAUGCUAGGAUACAGAUGUUUUAUGCAAAAUGUUUGAAAUUGGCCAAACGUCUUUUCUUCCACAGGUCGUGUACCCAAAUGUUUCUUUUUCUUUUAAAUCUUUCCCUCCUUAUCUCUUCGGCCUCUUCCUCUUCUGCUUCAAUUAUAUGUGCAAUAAUAAUUAAAUCCAAAAUACCCAUUUUCUCUGCUUAAACACAAGGUUACUCGAGUUUUGUUGGAAGUGAACUGCGCAUAGGGGAGCGACCCGUGAAUUCAUCGCGGGCGCGAGUCCCGCGACUUCUCGAGCAUUCCAGCGACUUCUCGAGCAGUCGCGGGAAUCCGCGCGCCUUCUCUAUUGAGCGGGUCGCUGCGCUUCGCCGCUCUUUCGGUGUGAGUUGAGCCCAAUAGUCUAAGACACGAUCCAAACGCCUAAAUGCUCGUGGAACAGGUUUUUGGAACAAGUAUUUCUACGUACGCGUACUCCUAAGACUCAGUACAUAUUUUACCUAGUAUGUCUCAUCUCUACGAAGCAGAGAGAGGAAAAGCAAGACAUCCCCUUUCUCCGCUAAGCAUGGAGCUUUGCUUGUUCAAAUCUCAUCCAUUGUUGAAUGUUGUUAUAAAUGGAUGAGGUUUGAAACUAAGACCAUGUGGAUAUCUGUCCAGUCCAGCUUUUUUUAAGAGAAAAAAACAACAGUUGUUUAUCUGUAGCAGUAUGAUGCAAAGAGAAAGUUCGUCUUUCUCAACAAGACAUCCCCUGUCCCUGCUAAGCUAUAUAGACCUUAAAGAUAUUGGUCCAUCCCAAUUUUUUUUUUUAAGAAAUAAAUAACAGUAACUUAUUUAAGCAAUAUGAUGCAGAAAGAGACAAAAAACAAAACAUGCCCUUUCUCAGCUAAGCAUGAAGCUUGCGUGUUCAAAUCACAUAUUGAUACAAUAGCCCAAAUAAAUAAAGUUUUAAACUAUCUUAUGGAAAUGGGCCCAACACAAUUUCAUUUUUUUAAGGCAAGAAAUAACAGCUUAUUUACAGCUGGAUCUUUCAUAGGCAAAACAUCUACACACCAGAGUGUUUUUUUUCUGUUUUCAAUCCAUUAUGCAUUGGUUCAUUAUUCUAUUAUUGAUAUGAAAUCACAACACCAAGUUUUCCAAGAGCAAAAGAGCAAUAAUUCUUCUGAACAUAUUCCAAACUUUGUCAUUAAGAAAUGACAAUAGGCUACUUUUUUCACAUUAAUCUUUUGUAGAAGAU
Molecule: long non-coding RNA, 3445 nt
Organism: Maniola jurtina (meadow brown)
Lineage: Eukaryota; Metazoa; Arthropoda; Insecta; Lepidoptera; Nymphalidae
Exons: 2
Source: RefSeq, a predicted model, not a curated record